This 253-nucleotide ribosomal RNA is filed under the name uncultured bacterium. Its description in RNAcentral is "partial 16S ribosomal RNA". It matches the Rfam family "Bacterial small subunit ribosomal RNA", at positions 524 to 776 of the family's 1533-position model. The record is from RNAcentral.
UACGUAGGGGGCAAGCGUUGUCCGGAAUCAUUGGGCGUAAAGCGCGUGUAGGCGGCCCAGUAAGUCCGCUCUGAAAGCCCGGGGCUUAACCCCGGGAGGCGGGUGGAUACUGCUGGGCUCGAGUCCGGAAGAGGCGAGUGGAAUUCCCGGUGUAGCGGUGAAAUGCGCAGAUAUCGGGAGGAACACCAAUGGCGAAGGCAGCUCGCUGGGCCGAAACUGACGCUGAGGAGCGAAAGCGUGGGUAGCAAACAGG